Molecule: ribosomal RNA, 458 nt
Filed under: Begemius queenslandicus
Lineage: Eukaryota; Metazoa; Annelida; Clitellata; Crassiclitellata; Megascolecidae
Description: partial 16S ribosomal RNA
Rfam family: Bacterial large subunit ribosomal RNA
Source: RNAcentral
UGAAAUAAUACCUGCCCAGUGACAAUGUUCAACGGCCGCGGUAUCCUAACCGUGCAAAGGUAGCAUAAUCACUUGCCUAUUAAUUGUAGGCUAGAAUGAAGGGGUUAACGAAAUAAAAACUGUCUCAAUUAGUCAACUAAAAAUUAUUUUCUAUCUGAAGAAAGGUAGAUAUCCUCGAAGGACAAGAAGACCCUAUAGAACUUUAUUUAACCUAUAGAACUUUACUGUAGCAAAAUUCGGUUGGGGCGACCCCGGGACUAUAAAUCACCCAAUAAAAUAAAGGUAAAUAAACCAAACAACUGACCCUUAUAAGAUCAUAAAACCAAGCUACCUUAGGGAUAACAGGCUAAUCCCACUUAAGAGUUCUUAUCAACAGUGGGGUUUGGCACCUCGAUGUUGGCUUAGGGAAUCUAUAUAGCGCAAAAGUUAUAUAAAGAUGGUUGUUCAACCAAUAAUCC